This 491-nucleotide ribosomal RNA is filed under the name uncultured bacterium. RNAcentral describes it as "bacterial SSU rRNA". It matches the Rfam family "Bacterial small subunit ribosomal RNA", at positions 21 to 507 of the family's 1533-position model. The record is from RNAcentral.
GGCUCAGGAUGAACGCUAGCGGCAGGCUUAAUACAUGCAAGUCGUGGGGCAGCGCAGUGUAGCAAUACAUGGGCGGCGACCGGCAAACGGGUGCGGAACACGUACACAACCUUCCUACAAGUGGGGAAUGGCCAGAGAAAUUUGGAUUAAUACCCCGUAACAUAUAAAGAUGGCAUCAUUUUUAUAUUAUAGCUACGGCGCUUGUUGAUGGGUGUGCGGCUGAUUAGGUAGUUGGCGGGGUAAUGGCCCACCAAGCCUGCGAUCAGUAGCUGAUGUGAGAGCAUGAUCAGCCACACGGGCACUGAGACACGGGCCCGACUCCUACGGGAGGCAGCAGUAAGGAAUAUUGGACAAUGGGCGCAAGCCUGAUCCAGCCAUGCCGCGUGAAGGAUUAAGGUCCUCUGGAUUGUAAACUUCUUUUAUAAGGGACGAAAAAGGGAAUUCUUUCUCACUUGACGGUACCUUAUGAAUAAGCACCGGCUAACUCCGUG